RNAcentral lists this ribosomal RNA (253 nucleotides) under uncultured bacterium. Its description in RNAcentral is "partial 16S ribosomal RNA". It matches the Rfam family "Bacterial small subunit ribosomal RNA", at positions 524 to 776 of the family's 1533-position model. The record is from RNAcentral.
UACGUAGGGGGCAAGCGUUGUCCGGAUUUAUUGGGCGUAAAGAGCGUGUAGGCGGCCUGAAAGGUCAGCUGUGAAAACUUGAGGCUCAACCUCGAGACGUCGGUUGAAACCAUCUGGCUAGAGUCCGGAAGAGGAGUGUGGAAUUCCCGGUGUAGCGGUGAAAUGCGCAGAUAUCGGGAAGAACACCCGUGGCGAAGGCGGCACUCUGGGACGGUACUGACGCUGAGACGCGAAAGCGUGGGGAGCGAACAGG